GAUGAACGCUGGCGGCGUGCUUAACACAUGCAAGUCGAACGGAAAGGCCGAGGCUUGCUUCGGUACUCGAGUGGCGAACGGGUGAGUAACACGUGGGUGAUCUGCCCUGUACUUCGGGAUAAGCUUGGGAAACUGGGUCUAAUACCGGAUAUGACGAUCUCUUGGAUGGGGUUGUGGAAAGCUUUUGCGGUAUGGGAUGAGCUCGCGGCCUAUCAGCUUGUUGGUGGGGUAAUGGCCUACCAAGGCGUCGACGGGUAGCCGGCCUGAGAGGGUGUACGGCCACAUUGGGACUGAGAUACGGCCCAGACUCCUACGGGAGGCAGCAGUGGGGAAUAUUGCACAAUGGGCGCAAGCCUGAUGCAGCGACGCCGCGUGGGGGAUGACGGCCUUCGGGUUGUAAACUCCUUUCGCAAUCGACGAAGCCUUUUGGUGACGGUAGGUUGAGAAGAAGCACCGGCUAACUACGU
Molecule: ribosomal RNA, 467 nt
Filed under: uncultured bacterium
Lineage: Bacteria
Description: partial 16S ribosomal RNA
Rfam family: Bacterial small subunit ribosomal RNA
Source: RNAcentral